This 1388-nucleotide ribosomal RNA is filed under the name uncultured bacterium. Its description in RNAcentral is "bacterial SSU rRNA". It matches the Rfam family "Bacterial small subunit ribosomal RNA". The record is from RNAcentral.
UUAGAGUUUGAUUCUGGCUCAGGAUGAACGCUAGCGGCAGGCUUAACACAUGCAAGUCGAGGGGCAGCAUGUCCAGCAAUGGAUGAUGGCGACCGGCGGAAGGGUGCGUAACGCGUGAGCAACAUGCCCUAUACAGGGAGAUACACCAGGGAAACUUGGUCUAAUAUCCCAUAGCAUUCAUUGAAGGCAUCUUUAAUGAAUUAAAGCUUCGGUGGUAUAGGAUUGGCUCGCGUGACAUUAGCCAGAUGGUGAGGUAACGGCUCACCAUAGCAAUGAUGUCUAGGGGUUUUGAGAGGAAGGCCCCCCACACUGGUACUGAGACACGGGCCAGACUCCUACGGGAGGCAGCAGUGAGGAAUAUUGGUCAAUGGACGGAAGUCUGAACCAGCCAUGUCGCGUGCAGGAUGACUGCCCUAUGGGUUGUAAACUGCUUUUGUAUGGGAAGAAAGUGGGGUACGUGUACCCCUUUGCCGGUACCAUACGAAUAAGGAUCGGCUAACUCCGUGCCAGCAGCCGCGGUAAUACGGAGGAUCCGAGCGUUAUCCGGAUUUAUUGGGUUUAAAGGGUGCGUAGGCUGGGGAUUAAGUCAGUGGUGAAAGUUUGCGGCUCAACCGUAAAAUUGCCGUUGAUACUGGUUCUCUUGAGUACAUUUGAGGCAGGCGGAAUGUGGUGUGUAGCGGUGAAAUGCAUAGAUAUACCACAGAACACCGAUUGCGAAGGCAGCUUGCUAAGAUGUGACUGACGCUGAAGCACGAAAGCAUGGGGAUCAAACAGGAUUAGAUACCCUGGUAGUCCAUGCUGUAAACGAUGAUCACUAGCUGUUUGCGAUAUAUAGUAAGCGGCACAGGGAAACUAUUAAGUGAUCCACCUGGGGAGUACGUUGGCAACAAUGAAACUCAAAGGAAUAGACGGGGGCCCGCACAAGCGGAGGAACAUGUGGUUUAAUUCGAUGAUACGCGAGGAACCUUACCUGGGUUUAAAUGGGGAGUGACAGGUUUAGAGAUAGAUCUUUCUUCGGACACUCUUCAAGGUGCUGCAUGGUUGUCGUCAGCUCGUGCCGUGAGGUGUCGGGUUAAGUCCCAUAACGAGCGCAACCCACGUUGUCAGUUACCAGCACGUAGUGGUGGGGAGUCUGACAAGACUGCCGGUGUAAACCGCGAGGAAGGUGUGGAUGACGUCAAAUCAGCACGGCCCUUACAUCCAGGGCUACACACGUGUUACAAUGGCCGGUACAGAGGGCAGCUACACUGCGAAGUGAUGUCAAUCCCAUAAAACCGGUCUCAGUUCGGAUCGGAGUGUGCAACUCGACUCCGUGAAGCUGGAUUCGCUAGUAAUCGCGCAUCAGCCAUGGCGCGGUGAAUAAGUUCCCGGGCCUCGUACUCACCGCC